Molecule: long non-coding RNA, 415 nt
Organism: Bos taurus (domestic cattle)
Lineage: Eukaryota; Metazoa; Chordata; Mammalia; Artiodactyla; Bovidae
Source: Ensembl
GGUCCCUGUCAUUUCCGUUCUCCUGGUACCACGCCAUCCUUUGUUGCACGGGCUCAAUGUGUUUCUCCACGCUGACAGCGAUCCAGCAGCCCGCCAAGCGUGGAAUCCCAAGUCCUCUGCUAUCGGCAAUUGUAGCGUCCCUUCAUUUCGUGCCAGUUUCAGGUUCACUUACCCUUGACACAUCACGAGGCUGUCUGGUGAGCAAGAGCUGUUCACAGGAGCAGAUUUUAGGGAUCAGCGGCCAAAGCAGGAAAGAUUUGGUCCACCAUAAUAAUACAUGUUCCUCCAGCGAUUCAUAUAUAUUCUUCCACAUGGAGAGAAAAUUCUGGAGACAAGUGACAGAAAUGCUCCAGUACCCAAACCACAGACUCCCAGAGGCCUGCCACAUGUGAGCAGCUGGGCCUUGUUUUCACAU